This 85-nucleotide transfer RNA is filed under the name Armatimonadota bacterium. RNAcentral's name for it is "Armatimonadetes bacterium (groundwater metagenome) tRNA-Leu". It matches the Rfam family "tRNA". From Rfam's summary of the family: Transfer RNA (tRNA) molecules are approximately 80 nucleotides in length. The record is from RNAcentral. Lineage: Bacteria; Bacillati; Armatimonadota.
GCGGAGGUGGCGGAACUGGCAGACGCGUACGUUUGAGGGGCGUAUGGAGUAAUCCGUGGGGGUUCAAUUCCCCCCCUCCGCACCA